Molecule: non-coding RNA, 968 nt
Filed under: Semnornis frantzii
Lineage: Eukaryota; Metazoa; Chordata; Aves; Piciformes; Ramphastidae
Description: 12S ribosomal RNA
Rfam family: Bacterial small subunit ribosomal RNA
Source: RNAcentral
AAAAGACUUAGUCCUAACCUUACUAUUGGUUUCUACUAAACCUAUACAUGCAAGUAUCCGCAACCCGGUGUAAAUGCCCUCAAAAUCUUACUAAGACAGAAGGAGCUGGCAUCAGGCACGCCCGCGCAGCCUACGACGCCUUGCUCAGCCACACCCCCACGGGCCAUCAGCAGUAAUUAACAUUAAGCAAUAAGUGUAAGCUUGACUUAGCUAUAGUAGACCAGGGUUGGUAAAUCUUGUGCCAGCCACCGCGGUCAUACAAGAAACCCAAAUCAAUCGUACACGGCGUAAAGAGUGGCCCGAGCACUAUCCCCGCCAACUAGGACCAAACUGCAACCGAGCUGUCAUAAGCCCAAGAUGCACCUAAACCCUCUAUUAACACAGUCCUAGUACUAAGGAAUGACCCUCCCCACGAAAGCCAGGAAACAAACUGGGAUUAGAUACCCCACUAUGCCUGGCCCUAAAUCCUGGUGUUCCCUUCACCUAAACACCCGCCCGGGGACUACGAGCACAAACGCUUAAAACCCUAAGGACUUGGCGGUGCCCCAAACCCCCCUAGAGGAGCCUGUUCUAUAAUCGAUAACCCACGUUACACCCCACCCCCCCUUGCCCUGCCAGCCUAUAUACCGCCGUCGCCAGCUCACCUUAAAUGAAAGCCCAGCAGUGAGCACAAUAAUCUCACCCAUUAACAAGACAGGUCGAGGUAUAGCCCAUGGGGGGGAAAGAAAUGGGCUACAUUUUCUAACCUAGACUACUGACGAAAGAGGACCUGAAAACGGACCUCAGAAGGAGGAUUUAGCAGUAAAACAUGACAAUCAAGCCUGUUUUAAGCUGGCCCUGGAGCACGUACAUACCGCCCGUCACCCUCUUCACAAGCCCCUAACUAACCCUUAACUAACCCCCCAACUAGCUGAAGACGAGGUAAGUCGUAACAAGGUAAGUGUACCGGAAGGUGCACUUAGCACACC